This 252-nucleotide ribosomal RNA is filed under the name uncultured bacterium. Its description in RNAcentral is "partial 16S ribosomal RNA". It matches the Rfam family "Bacterial small subunit ribosomal RNA", at positions 524 to 776 of the family's 1533-position model. The record is from RNAcentral.
UACGGAGGAUGCGAGCGUUAUCCGGAUUUAUUGGGUUUAAAGGGUGCGUAGGCGGGCUGUUAAGUCAGCGGUAAAAGCCCGGGGCUCAACCCCGGCGAGCCGUUGAAACUGGCUGUCUUGAGAUGUCGAGAGGUAUGCGGAAUGCGCAGUGUAGCGGUGAAAUGCUUAGAUAUUGCGCAGAACUCCGAUUGCGAAGGCAGCAUACCGGCGGCGAUCUGACGCUGAGGCACGAAAGCGUGGGUAUUGAACAGG